AGCUUGCUCCUUGAUUUAGCGGCGGACGGGUGAGUAAUGCCUAGGAAUCUGCCCGGUAGUGGGGGAUAACGUUCCGAAAGGAACGCUAAUACCGCAUACGUCCUACGGGAGAAAGCAGGGGACCUUCGGGCCUUGCGCUAUCGGAUGAGCCUAGGUCGGAUUAGCUAGUUGGUGAGGUAAAGGCUCACCAAGGCGACGAUCCGUAACUGGUCUGAGAGGAUGAUCAGUCACACUGGAACUGAGACACGGUCCAGACUCCUACGGGAGGCAGCAGUGGGGAAUAUUGGACAAUGGGCGAAAGCCUGAUCCAGCCAUGCCGCGUGUGUGAAGAAGGUCUUCGGAUUGUAAAGCACUUUAAGUUGGGAGGAAGGGCAGUAAGUUAAUACCUUGCUGUUUUGACGUUACCGACAGAAUAAGCACCGGCUAACUUCGUGCCAGCAGCCGCGGUAAUACGAAGGGUGCAAGCGUUAAUCGGAAUUACUGGGCGUAAAGCGCGCGUAGGUGGUUCGUUAAGUUGGAUGUGAAAGCCCCGGGCUCAACCUGGGAACUGCAUCCAAAACUGGCGAGCUAGAGUACGGUA
This 580-nucleotide ribosomal RNA is filed under the name Pseudomonas sp. PJ 05. Its description in RNAcentral is "bacterial SSU rRNA". It matches the Rfam family "Bacterial small subunit ribosomal RNA", at positions 77 to 653 of the family's 1533-position model. The record is from RNAcentral. Lineage: Bacteria; Pseudomonadati; Pseudomonadota; Gammaproteobacteria; Pseudomonadales; Pseudomonadaceae.